GCAGGGGUUGCCAAGCUUGGUCAACGGCGCUGGGUUUAGGUCCCAGUCCUAAUGGUUCGCAGGUUCAAAUCCUGCCCCCUGCA
RNAcentral lists this transfer RNA (83 nucleotides) under Candidatus Poseidoniales archaeon. Its description in RNAcentral is "tRNA-Leu". It matches the Rfam family "tRNA". From Rfam's summary of the family: Transfer RNA (tRNA) molecules are approximately 80 nucleotides in length. Their secondary structure includes four short double-helical elements and three loops (D, anti-codon, and T loops). The record is from RNAcentral. Lineage: Archaea; Methanobacteriati; Thermoplasmatota; Candidatus Poseidoniia; Candidatus Poseidoniales.